Molecule: ribosomal RNA, 269 nt
Filed under: uncultured prokaryote
Description: partial 16S ribosomal RNA
Rfam family: Bacterial small subunit ribosomal RNA
Source: RNAcentral
UACGUAGGUGGCAAGCGUUGUCCGGAUUUACUGGGCGUAAAGGGAGCGUAGGCGGACUUUUAAGUGAGAUGUGAAAUACCCGGGCUCAACUUGGGUGCUGCAUUUCAAACUGGAAGUCUAGAGUGCAGGAGAGGAGAAUGGAAUUCCUAGUGUAGCGGUGAAAUGCGUAGAGAUUAGGAAGAACACCAGUGGCGAAGGCGAUUCUCUGGACUGUAACUGACGCUGAGGCUCGAAAGCGUGGGGAUCAAACAGGAUUAGAUACCCCGGUA